Molecule: ribosomal RNA, 253 nt
Filed under: uncultured bacterium
Lineage: Bacteria
Description: partial 16S ribosomal RNA
Rfam family: Bacterial small subunit ribosomal RNA
Source: RNAcentral
UACGGGGGGGGCAAGCGUUGUUCGGAAUUACUGGGCGUAAAGGGCUCGUAGGUGGCCAACUAAGUCAUACGUGAAAUCCCUCAGCUUAACUGGGGAACUGCGCCUGAUACUGGUUGGCUUGAGUUUGGGAGAGGGACGCGGAAUUCCAGGUGUAGCGGUGAAAUGCGUAGAUAUCUGGAGGAACACCGGUGGCGAAGGCGGCAUCCUGGACCGGCAUUGACGCUGAGGCGCGAAAGCCAGGGGAGCAAACGGG